AUGGCGGAGGAUGGCGACUGCUGUGUUGCGGUGGCGGUGGCCGAGGCGGCGGGCAUCAUCUGCUCGCUCCGCGCGGCCGACCUCGCCGGGUGGACGCCGCCCUGGAAGACCAGCGGGCCGCCGUCGUCCGAAGCCGCGACGAAGGAGGAGACGGCCUGGCCGGCGGUGGCGCGGGGGAAGCGGACGCGCGCAUCGCGCUCCGGCUCGGCGGCCAACAAGAACAAGGGGAGAUGGGCACGCGGCAGCCCCGCGUCUCCGCUCGACUACAGCGGCGGGUCCGGCUCCGGCGCGUCCACCAGCGGCGGCGAGGACGGCGCCUUCUGCUCGCCGCCGGCGACGGUCGCCAUCGCCGCCCCAGCUUCUUCCUCCUUGGCCAAGGUUGGCUCUGCCGGAGGAGCACGGCGCCCGUUGAUCCUGCCGGUGCCGCCGCCCCGCACCGCCGGCCAGAGGUCGCGGAAGAAGAUGAGGCUCCCGGAGGUGCAGCAGCUGGUGCAGUCCCUGUCGGCAGAGAACGUCGGCCUUCGCCAGGAGAUGGAGUCGCUGCAGAGGGCCUGCAGGGCGCUGUCCAAGGAGAACGGCAGACUAGAGACAAGGCUGGAGCAUUCUUCUUCGUCAAGCAAGCGGAGGAGGGUCGGGUCCGAAGAGGAGGAGCGGCGACAAAGGAAGCCGCAGCAAGCCGGUGGCGGCUUCGUGCUCCCUGACCUCAACUUUCCGGCGCAGGAUGUCGCCGACGCACCAGCGGCGGCUCACUGA
RNAcentral lists this ribosomal RNA (753 nucleotides) under Triticum aestivum (bread wheat). Its description in RNAcentral is "partial small subunit ribosomal RNA". Lineage: Eukaryota; Viridiplantae; Streptophyta; Magnoliopsida; Poales; Poaceae. The record is from RNAcentral.